GGGUUGUGAGGUUAAGCGACUAAGCGUACACGGUGGAUGCCCUGGCAGUCAGAGGCGAUGAAGGGCGUGCUAAUCUGCGAUAAGCGCCGGUAAGGUGAUAUGAACCGUUAUAACCGGCGAUACCCGAAUGGGGAAACCCAGUGUGAUUCGUCACACUAUCAUUAACUGAAUCCAUAGGUUAAUGAGGCGAACCGGGGGAACUGAAACAUCUAAGUACCCCGAGGAAAAGAAAUCAACCGAGAUUCCCCCAGUAGCGGCGAGCGAACGGGGAGGAGCCCAGAGCCUGAAUCAGCAUGUGUGUUAGUGGAAGCGUCUGGAAAGGCGCGCGAUACAGGGUGACAGCCCCGUACACAAAAGCGCAUGUGCUGUGAGCUCGAUGAGUAGGGCGGGACACGUGGUAUCCUGUCUGAAUAUGGGGGGACCAUCCUCCAAGGCUAAAUACUCCUGACUGACCGAUAGUGAACCAGUACCGUGAGGGAAAGGCGAAAAGAACCCCGGCGAGGGGAGUGAAAAAGAACCUGAAACCGUGUACGUACAAGCAGUGGGAGCACNNNNNNNNNNNNNUGACUGCGUACCUUUUGUAUAAUGGGUCAGCGACUUAUAUUCUGUAGCAAGGUUAACCGAAUAGGGGAGCCGGAGGGAAACCGAGUCUUAAUUGGGCGUUAAGUUGCAGGGUAUAGACCCGAAACCCGGUGAUCUAGCCAUGGGCAGGUUGAAGGUUGGGUAACACUAACUGGAGGACCGAACCGACUAAUGUUGAAAAAUUAGCGGAUGACCUGUGGCUGGGGGUGAAAGGCCAAUCAAACCGGGAGAUAGCUGGUUCUCCCCGAAAGCUAUUUAGGUAGCGCCUCGUGAAUUCAUCUCCGGGGGUAGAGCACUGUUUCGGCUAGGGGGCCAUCCCGGCUUACCAACCCGAUGCAAACUGCGAAUACCGGAGAAUGUUAUCACGGGAGACACACGGCGGGUGCUAACGUCCGUCGUGAAGAGGGAAACAACCCAGACCGCCAGCUAAGGUCCCAAAGUCAUGGUUAAGUGGGAAACGAUGUGGGAAGGCCCAGACAGCCAGGAUGUUGGCUUAGAAGCAGCCAUCAUUUAAAGAAAGCGUAAUAGCUCACUGGUCGAGUCGGCCUGCGCGGAAGAUGUAACGGGGCUAAACCAUGCACCGAAGCUGCGGCAGCGACACUGUGUGUUGUUGGGUAGGGGAGCGUUCUGUAAGCCUGUGAAGGUGUGUCGUGAGGCAUGCUGGAGGUAUCAGAAGUGCGAAUGCUGACAUAAGUAACGAUAAAGCGGGUGAAAAGCCCGCUCGCCGGAAGACCAAGGGUUCCUGUCCAACGUUAAUCGGGGCAGGGUGAGUCGACCCCUAAGGCGAGGCCGAAAGGCGUAGUCGAUGGGAAACGGGUUAAUAUUCCCGUACUUGGUGUUACUGCGAAGGGGGGACGGAGAAGGCUAUGUUGGCCGGGCGACGGUUGUCCCGGUUUAAGCGUGUAGGUGUGUGUUCCAGGUAAAUCCGGUUCACUUUAACACUGAGGCGUGACGACGAGGCACUACGGUGCUGAAGCAACAAAUGCCCUGCUUCCAGGAAAAGCCUCUAAGCAUCAGGUAACAUCAAAUCGUACCCCAAACCGACACAGGUGGUCAGGUAGAGAAUACCAAGGCGCUUGAGAGAACUCGGGUGAAGGAACUAGGCAAAAUGGUGCCGUAACUUCGGGAGAAGGCACGCUGACACGUAGGUGAAGUGAUUUACUCAUGGAGCUGAAGUCAGUCGAAGAUACCAGCUGGCUGCAACUGUUUAUUAAAAACACAGCACUGUGCAAACACGAAAGUGGACGUAUACGGUGUGACGCCUGCCCGGUGCCGGAAGGUUAAUUGAUGGGGUCAGCGCAAGCGAAGCUCCUGAUCGAAGCCCCGGUAAACGGCGGCCGUAACUAUAACGGUCCUAAGGUAGCGAAAUUCCUUGUCGGGUAAGUUCCGACCUGCACGAAUGGCGUAAUGAUGGCCAGGCUGUCUCCACCCGAGACUCAGUGAAAUUGAACUCGCUGUGAAGAUGCAGUGUACCCGCGGCAAGACGGAAAGACCCCGUGAACCUUUACUAUAGCUUGACACUGAACAUUGAGCCUUGAUGUGUAGGAUAGGUGGGAGGCUUUGAAGUGUGGACGCCAGUCUGCAUGGAGCCGACCUUGAAAUACCACCCUUUAAUGUUUGAUGUUCUAACGUGGACCCGUUACCCGGGUUGCGGACAGUGUCUGGUGGGUAGUUUGACUGGGGCGGUCUCCUCCUAAAGAGUAACGGAGGAGCACGAAGGUUGGCUAAUCCUGGUCGGACAUCAGGAGGUUAGUGCAAUGGCAUAAGCCAGCUUGACUGCGAGCGUGACGGCGCGAGCAGGUGCGAAAGCAGGUCAUAGUGAUCCGGUGGUUCUGAAUGGAAGGGCCAUCGCUCAACGGAUAAAAGGUACUCCGGGGAUAACAGGCUGAUACCGCCCAAGAGUUCAUAUCGACGGCGGUGUUUGGCACCUCGAUGUCGGCUCAUCACAUCCUGGGGCUGAAGUAGGUCCCAAGGGUAUGGCUGUUCGCCAUUUAAAGUGGUACGCGAGCUGGGUUUAGAACGUCGUGAGACAGUUCGGUCCCUAUCUGCCGUGGGCGCUGGAGAACUGAGGGGGGCUGCUCCUAGUACGAGAGGACCGGAGUGGACGCAUCACUGGUGUUCGGGUUGUCAUGCCAAUGGCACUGCCCGGUAGCUAAAUGCGGAAGAGAUAAGUGCUGAAAGCAUCUAAGCACGAAACUUGCCCCGAGAUGAGUUCUCCCUGAGACUUAGAGUCUCCUGAAGGAACGUUGAAGACGACGACGUUGAUAGGCCGGGUGUGUAAGCGCAGCGAUGCGUUGAGCUAACCGGUACUAAUGAACCGUGAGGCUUAACCUUACAACGCCGAAG
Molecule: ribosomal RNA, 2928 nt
Filed under: Salmonella enterica subsp. enterica serovar Enteritidis str. SA20090877
Lineage: Bacteria; Pseudomonadati; Pseudomonadota; Gammaproteobacteria; Enterobacterales; Enterobacteriaceae
Also listed under: 1 other name
Description: bacterial LSU rRNA
Rfam family: Bacterial large subunit ribosomal RNA
Source: RNAcentral